UUCGCAAUGCCCGAAAGGGUGACGAAGCGACGCCGCGCGGGUGAGGAAGGCCCUCGGGUUGUAAAGCCCUGUCAGGAGUUAAGAAAUGUAAGUGUGCUAAUAUCGCAUUUACUUGACGAAGGCUCCAAAGGAAGUCACGGCUAACUCUGUGCCAGCAGCCGCGGUAAUACAGAGGUGGCAAGCGUUGUUCGGAAUUAUUGGGCGUAAAGAGCACGUAGGUGGGUUUGUAAGUCAGAUGUGAAAGCCUCCUGUUCAACGGGAGAAUUGCAUCUGAAACUACUGAUCUUGAGUAUAGGAGGGGAGAAUGGAACUUCUGGUGGAGCGGUGAAAUGCGUAGAUAUCAGAAGGAACGCCGGCGGCGAAAGCGAUUCUCUGGCCUAUUACUGACACUGAGUGUGCGAAAGUUAGGGGAGCAAACGGGAUUAGAUACCCCGGUAGUCCUAACUGUAAACGAUGGGCACUAAGUAGAGGGGUUUU
Molecule: ribosomal RNA, 477 nt
Filed under: Candidatus Scalindua brodae
Lineage: Bacteria; Pseudomonadati; Planctomycetota; Candidatus Brocadiia; Candidatus Brocadiales; Candidatus Scalinduaceae
Also listed under: 1 other name
Description: bacterial SSU rRNA
Rfam family: Bacterial small subunit ribosomal RNA
Source: RNAcentral